RNAcentral lists this ribosomal RNA (92 nucleotides) under Acinetobacter baumannii. Lineage: Bacteria; Pseudomonadati; Pseudomonadota; Gammaproteobacteria; Moraxellales; Moraxellaceae. The record is from RNAcentral. RNAcentral also lists the same sequence under 1 other name.
UGGCGACCAUAGCAAGAGUGAACCACCUGAUCCCUUCCCGAACUCAGAAGUGAAACCUCUUAGCGCUGAUGGUAGUGUGGGAUUACCCAUGU